RNAcentral lists this transfer RNA (74 nucleotides) under Perkinsus olseni. It matches the Rfam family "tRNA". From Rfam's summary of the family: Transfer RNA (tRNA) molecules are approximately 80 nucleotides in length. Their secondary structure includes four short double-helical elements and three loops (D, anti-codon, and T loops). Further hydrogen bonds mediate the characteristic L-shaped molecular structure. tRNAs have two regions of fundamental functional importance: the anti-codon, which is responsible for specific mRNA codon recognition, and the 3' end, to which the tRNAs corresponding amino acid is attached (by aminoacyl-tRNA synthetases). tRNAs cope with the degeneracy of the genetic code in two manners: having more than one tRNA (with a specific anti-codon) for a particular amino acid; and 'wobble' base-pairing, i.e. permitting non-standard base-pairing at the 3rd anti-codon position. Lineage: Eukaryota; Perkinsozoa; Perkinsida; Perkinsidae. RNAcentral also lists the same sequence under 1 other name. The record is from Rfam by way of RNAcentral.
GCUCUGGUGGCUCAAUCGGAUAGAGCGUUGGACUUCUAAUCCAAAGGUUGCGGGUUCAAGUCCCGCCUAGAGUA